Long non-coding RNA from Populus trichocarpa (black cottonwood), 2481 nucleotides. RefSeq lists it as uncharacterized. The transcript is spliced from 3 exons. The record is from RefSeq and is a predicted model, not a curated record. NCBI's taxonomy places the organism in Eukaryota, Viridiplantae, Streptophyta, Magnoliopsida, Malpighiales, Salicaceae.
CACUCUGCCUCUCCUCACCUGGUUUCCCGCCCUGCCCUACCCUCUCAAUUGAAGCCACCAAUGGAAGUGCAUUUUGCAUCAACUUUGAUUGAUGAGAGUUUGGUUUUCAACUUGAUUUGAGUCGCUAUGCUAGUCUAUCUCUUUUCUUUACAUGGUUUUGCACUCCUAUUUUCUCUCUUCUGCACAGUGUUGUAGCUCAAUUGGAAUUCAAUUUACCAUCGUUGGUUUUUUAUUAUCUUCCAGGAUUUCGGCUCUUUUGACGACCUUUUGCUGGCGCUACCACCUGAUGUUCCAUGGCUUUGGUUGCGUGAUGUUGCUCCAGUUCGUGAUUUGCGAUUAUUCUCUAUGAUUCGUAGUUUUGUUUCUUUUCAGAGACCCUGCUGGUUUCUUUUUUUUUUUUUUUUUUGGGAAGCACUUUUUGAUUAGGUUUAAGAGCAUGUCUGAGCUUCCUCCUAUUUUUGAUUAGUGGUUUUAUGAUGUGAAUGUUUAGGAAUGUUGUGUGUGUUUGAUUGCCUUCGACUAGGCACGAUCGAAUAGCCUUUGUCAGGGUUAUAUGACCCUUCAGCUGGUUCUUAAGCAGCUGUGGUUUUCCUUCACUGCAUUCAUUUUCGUAUAGCUAAAUGUUUUUUUCAAAUGGUGUCGAUAUCGACUUUGUCUGGGUCCAUCUUUUUUUGGCCUUCUGCUGUUCUGUUUCUUUAGAAUCUGUCUCUACAGCUUGUGAAAAAAAGAAUGUACUGACACCCUUUCAUCUAAAGCUAGAUUGCUGAAACUUCGUCCGCUGUUACCUGCAACAUUUUUUCUUCCAGGUUUGUGCCUGUUCUUUCUCAUUUCGAUUUGGUUCUUAUAUUUUUUUAAGCUUACGUCAAGAAAGCUUCCUAACAAGUAGUCAGCCCAUAACUUUAUUUUGACCUUAACUUGGUUGGUGCGCCUGCCUUUUUAUGCACUGUUCCUUCUGUGUCGUUUAAUCCAGGUUAGUUUCUUUUCCUUUUUCAUUGAUCUGCUCUUUGCUUAAGGGAAGGAGGGUGUCAUUUAAUGUUUGUUAACAUUAGUUACUGAGUAGAUGAAAACCAAACACACAAGAUGAGAUAAACAGUUAUGUUCUAAUGUUUCCAAUCUAUCAAAAUUGAGUUUCUUCUUAAAAUAAAGUGUAUUCAAGUCUUCAUUGCCACAUCACCCUCCAAUUGUCCAUGUCGUUUUGCAGCUCACAGUAAAUUAGGUGCCUGGAAUACUUCAAUUCACUCCACUGCUGCUGCCAUCAAUUUGGCUCUAUACUAUGAAGUAUGAGCAUGGCUGGCUAGGAGGAUUUGUGGGUAUAUUAACAAAUUAGCAAGUUGCUUCUUUGAUCUAGAUGUUUAGUAAAGGUGAUGCCAGGGGAAAUUAUAAGGGUGGUCUUGGCAUCCGGACUGCUAGAGAAGCCAUCUUUAGAUGGCAGCAAAAGGAUUUCUUCUUUGGCAUGCUAGAAUUUCUGCAGACAUUUGCAACUACCUUUUCCUCUCCCGUGUUUACAAUUAUCCUGUAUGUUCAAAGAAUGAUGAGUCACACAGUAUAGGCUAACAAGUUUUAACAUUACAGUUAAUUGCUCUAAUUCUUCAUCUGCACAUUACCUUCCUUUCUCAAAGAGUUGGCUUGGAAAUACUUACUAUCUUAUAUAUUCCAUCUUUUUGUUGUUUUCGAUUGUGGUUUGUUUUUGUUGUUGUUGUUGAGGAUGGUUGCAUUCCGAUAGCGGCCUCUUAUCUACUUUUGUUCUAUGUUUGCUCAUGUGCUGUUCAUUAUCAGGUUGUCAUUCUUCAUUGCUUGCUGCAUUUUUUAGAUGCAGUAAUUUCUUUUUCAUUUUUUGGCCUUCUGCUGUUCUGUUUCUUUAGAAUCUGUGUCUACGGAUUAGUUUCCCACUCCUUUUCUAUGCCAUCUGAAGCAGAUAUCAACAGCAACUGACAACCCUCAUAAUUCAACAUGUCUGGUGGGUCAGCAGGAACAAACUUAUUGCCCAAAUUGGCCUUGUAGAGAGCAAGCCUGCAUAAACAAUGCCCUUCUGUCGAACUUGCUUCGCAAGGUCUCUGACAAUCAUGAGAUGAGGAAUUUUGAGGCCUAUAUUUGUGCUUUCACACAUUUCCUGUGUCGUGUAUUGGGAGGAAGAAUAAAGAGACUAAAAUAACAUAUUAAAUAGGUCUUGCUGCUCUGUAUGGAUAAUGUGGUGAGCAAUCGCGAUGGAAUUGUCUGAGUUCAGUGUUUAUGAGUUUAUUGGCCCACCACAUGCCUUAUUUAUUCACUGAAAAAUGCUUAUAUCAAAAUAUGGAACCUCCUUAUCUGAUACAAAUCCUCUUGAGUGCCCCUAUUGGUCUGAGAUGCCUGUUUCAGUGGAUUCUGAGAUUCUCUGGCUAUUGCUUUUUUGAUUGUAUAUUGAGUGACAUUCUGUAUAUCUUGUUUUGAUGCAUGCACACUUGUGAAAUCUACUCUGUUCAGAGAUUUUACUUCUAGUGUUGG